RNA transcript from Lagenorhynchus albirostris (white-beaked dolphin), 3053 nucleotides. It is a transcript of the gene named ubiquitin conjugating enzyme E2 V2, with no coding region annotated. Lineage: Eukaryota; Metazoa; Chordata; Mammalia; Artiodactyla; Delphinidae. The record is from RefSeq and is a predicted model, not a curated record. The transcript is spliced from 5 exons.
GCCGGAAGCUGCGGGGCGGGAGCCUGGGGCCGGAAGCCGCGGGGCGGGCGGCGGCGCUCCCGGAGGUAGCGCGGACGUCGCGUGCGUCCGGGCGGUGCGUCGGGCUGCAGGAGAAGAUGGCGGUCUCCACAGGCGUUAAAGUUCCUCGUAAUUUUCGCUUGUUGGAAGAACUUGAAGAAGGACAAAAAGGAGUAGGCGAUGGUACGGUUAGCUGGGGCCUGGAAGAUGAUGAAGAUAUGACACUUACAAGGUGGACAGGCAUGAUUAUUGGGCCACCAAGGACAAAUUAUGAAAACAGAAUAUAUAGCCUGAAAGUAGAAUGUGGACCUAAAUACCCAGAAGCACCUCCAUCAGUUAGAUUUGUAACCAAAAUUAAUAUGAAUGGAGUAAAUAAUUCCAGUGGAAUGGUGGAUGCACGGAGCAUACCAGUGUUAGCAAAAUGGCAGAACUCAUACAGCAUUAAAGUUGUACUUCAAGAGCUAAGACGUCUAAUGAUGUCCAAAGAAAAUAUGAAGCUUCCACAGCCACCAGAAGGACAAACAUACAACAAUUAAUUUUAGUGGAUUUAAAACUUGUCUUAAAUCAACAACCUUCUAUUCAUGUUAAUGUCUUGAUUAAAUAUCACAAUGCAAAAUACCCACACAUUAAGUAAGAUAAUUCCAGCUGGUAAACAUGACCUGGACAUCUGUAAGAGUAUAUUUAAUAUAUGUACACCCAUUAUGUUUUCAGGUAACAGGAGGAAAAUUCAGCACAGUUUUUUUUCUUGUUAAGGCACCGUCAUUUAAGCAUGAACCUGGAGUACUCAGAGUGGAACUCAGGUUUCCAGGUGGAAGAACAGCAAGAAGUGUCAGAUGGCUGUGCAAGCAGAUGUGUUUCUGAAGAGAAAGCCCAAGAAGGAAAACCCAGAAUGGCGUGCUCUCGCUUAGUGAAAGAGCUUCCGUUGAAAUGGUCUAAAGUGGCAGAGUACAUGGCUGGAAAAUAUCAAUGUGUUUCCCACCCUGGAUUUGGUGUGAGACCAUGUGGGCGGCUCUGGAAGACGCAUCGUGAGGUAUAGACUUCGGCCAAAGCUGUGCUCACUCUUCUCAUGGGUACACAGCCGUGCUUGCAUGUACACGUUAAAGAGUGUAAAUGCAGAUGAUGCUGUCUAGUGUCAUGAAUAACAAUUUGGGGAGUUAUUUAAGGAAUUUUUUCCCCCAGAUUUUCUCGGUAAGUAUAUUUUUUAGACAUAUAUGUGAAGCAUUAUAGUAUAAUUAAUUGCUGGGAAGGAUCUAAAAGGCACUGAUUUCACUUUUCUGAGAAGUAACAGUAUGAUUUUCCAGUAACAACUUGAUUGGCUUUUGGUUGUGUUCACAAAAAGAUUGCAGCUCCGAAGAUUUUGGAAAGCAUUUGUAUUUUGUAUAUAAAACAGAAACGUUAUGAAAAGCAGUGGAUGCAGCGUAUUACAGGCUUGAUAGGAGCGUUAGCAGUUAAUUCCUACCCAGUACUGUGUUUAUUGACAAGCAAAAUGUAUGGAAAUAGAAUAUCUUUUAUGCUAAAAUUAAUAUGCCUCUUUGAAGUUACUAAACAGUAGAUGGAAAUCUUAUCAUAGGUCAUACUGAAAAUGUUGGCUAUUUUAAAAGUAUAGUGGAAUACUGAAAAGAUACACCAUAAGUAUUUUCUGAAGGGAAAAUUAUCGACGUAUUUGCUGACACAGAAAAUAAAUGACAAGUCAAAACUGUCAUCCUGUGAAAUAAGGGAGUUUGAGGGAAUCAUGGAGUGAGUACGUGAUUUUAAAGAAUCACUGGAUGUGAAGAGGUUGCCCAUUGUGUUUACGUACAUCUCUAAUGGGACAUUCUCACCUAAAAAAUUCCUAAAGGUCCUCUGCAUUUCAUUUUUACAUGUAAUCUAAAGAUCAGUACAGAAUUUUUUCUGCAACUUCAUUUAUGAAAUCAGUGAUAAAAUCCAGAUAGAUUUCACUUUCUUAACUUAGAAACAUUCCAGGAAUCAUCCUUUCUCCAGUGGGUAGCUGACCAGAUACCAUGUAAGGAUUGUGCAGUGGCCCCUCUGCUCCAGAUGUAGACUUACCAUGUGAAUUCUUUUAUCUUGUCUUAGUUGAGUACUGAGCAGCUGCUUACAUCUGUCUGAGAUUUUGGCAGCCAAAAGAUUAUACAAAAGUAAAGGUAAUAUUCCACCUCCAAAGGAAGACUAAUCUCUGGCACUGAGAAACCAAUGAAGUGAGAAACCCCGUGGUCAGUAAAGAAGCAAAUCUUUGAAUUCAUUGAGAGUGAAAACUGUUCCUUGUUUGUUCAGUGCAGUUGAGUAAUUAAAAUAUUGUUCAGAGAUUAUGGGGAAACAUUAAACAAUGGAGUGUGUGUAUUCUUCCUUCAUCUGAUAUAAUAGCUUUUUUUUUUUAAACAGGCUUUUAACAAUAGAUAAUUUUACAGAGUAAUCUGGAAAAUUAACAGUGUAAUGUAAAGUGAGGUUUCGACAGGACACGUACAUUAAAAUGUAGUAAGAUUAGUUAUAAUACUUAAUGUCAUGUUUUUUGGGUCCAAAGACUCUUCCAAUCAACAAGCAUGGUAAUUGUGAGUGCUUAUUACACAGGGUGAGACUUUAUAGCCUUUGUAGUUUGUCAGCCCUUAAUUUGAGGGAAAAAGGUAGAUUUUCUCCACAGUGGAUAACUGACAAAGAGAAAUGUAUUGUUUUACUGCUUCUCAAGCCACAUUGUCCAAAUAAGUAGUGAUUGCCAGAUGUCCAGAUUAUAUCCACUAUCAUAAAUUAUCUUUUUAUUGCUGUAAUUUAAAAAAUCAUCUUAAUACUCAAGUAAAAGUAAUUGAGUUCACAAGAAAAGUAAAAUAUCUAAUUGCCUGGGUUUCUUAAUCUUGAGUAACAUACGGACUUCUUUAAGGAGAACAGUAAUUCUUUUGGACUCAGUAUUGUCUUGAAUUAUUUUUGUUAAAACAUUGUUUAAUGCAUAAAAUUGUAUCAAUGCAAAUGUAUAAACUUCUUAGUCCUAUAAAAUUAUAAAGCAAAUUAACACAAUUACAUAGUAAUUAAAAUGUAAAAGACUUUAA